GUUUCUAAAGAGGAAGUCUUGAUGCACCAAGGGAUGGAAAUAGCCUGCGGCUAUCUAGCAGGCUCGGUUUUCUCUAUUGCAAAAGCCAUCCCACCUUGGGAGAGCGACCAGGGUGGUUUUGGGCACAGUUGGUGAACAUGGCUGCUUGCAUCCCAACCACAUCUGUUCCCUUUCUUAAUGGGCUAUUCCACUUCAGUCUUUGAUCUUGUCAGAUCUUGCAAACUAAGCUGGUUGGAGGUUAGCCAGUGCUUGGAUGAGCGAUUUCAUAGGAGUUCAUGAUGCUGUGAGAAUUGUUUGUGUCUGAAGAUGGCACCUUCUGCGGUGAGUCAAUGCUGAACAAAUACCCCAGCAUGGAGCCAGGGUGCUGGAACGCCAUGGGCUCCAUCUGCAGAGGAUGUGUAAAAUGCAGCCAUGCAAUCUGAUUUCCUACGAACUGCAGAAUGGAUGUCCUGGCCAAAAUCAAACGUAUGUAAUUAAUCCUGCAUUCAGAUAUUACUACUUUUCACCUUCUCCUAACCUGUCGCUGAGGUUUUCUGUGCAUGGCUGCAGCAUUUCAGAGAAGGAUGGAGAAGGAGGUUAUGUUGGGAGAUGCUGACAGUUGCUUCCGUGCAUGUCCAGUGUGCAUGAGUGGUGUACAGUGCAGGUACAAAACAGAUGGCCAUGCAAAUGUUUGGCCAUUUAGAAAUCUGUUAACACCCACUUGCAAAGUGUCACAGCCUGUUUGUACACACCAUGUCCCACAGGCUCCUCCUUCUCCUGAAGGGGAAGGUGGUGCAGCUUAGCACAGAGGUGCUCGGGGAUGUGUCCGCGAGCUGCCCGGGAGGGCGACCUGGGGGGGCAUGUCUGAGGGCUCGCGGUGCUGCUGGGGGAGCAGCCGUCUGCGCUGGGAGAAGCACUUGUGUUAACGUGGAAAACAACCAUGGAAAGCUGACCAUCAUUUUUAGAGCACUGUGGGACUUUUAUGGCAGUGUUCUGCAAAAGUGUCUCAUUCGCUGCUAGUGAGUGACCCCCUAACCACAUUGACAAGUAAUCACUCACAUGGGUAAUCCUAUUGACAUUAGUUGGGCCAGAGCUGCAUCAUUACAAUUUAGCAAAUAACUAUUCAGUUGUUUAGACUAUAAGUGUUUCUAAUUUAUGUAGAAAUAGAAGUCAUUUCUGUCUCAUUCAUUAAAGAAAACAUGAUGUGAAUUAUCACUUACUUAACAUAUGCAGAAAAAGGCAGAUUUUAGACAGCACAACACAAUAAAAAGAAUGAAUCUUUUCCCACCAGUGGUAAUGGGAGAUUCGUGAUUGAUGUCCUUCAUGUUUUUCUCUUACCAAACUGGUAAACUUAGGUUGACUCGAAUGCUGGCUGCUUUCCAGAUAAGAUGUCAUCAGUCAGGAAUACCCUUUGUUUAGAAUUCAGUUAAUUCUUUAGUUAGUGGUGGAUGGGCUCUGGUGUGGUCUUGCAGAGCUGCAUGGCUUUAUGGAGCUAAUAUCAGCGAAGAGCCAAAAAAUAUUUUUGCUAGAGAUGUGCUGAUACAACUCUGGGAUCACAUACAAAGUAUGGAGUGGCUGAAAUAACCUCUUGUAUUUUGUGUUGACUGGGAUACAGCUCUGCUUCUUUGGAAGCUACUGAAGUCCACCGUCCUGCCAAAUUCCUGUUUGGAAAUUGGAUCUCCCCUCCUCAAACCUCCCUGCAGCUCCACCCUGAUCAAAUGUUGACUGUAGCAUAUAGACAGGGACGCAACAUUCGGCUGCUGCCACACUGUGCCCUGCGUGACAGGGAGGAUUGUCCCUCUUUUUGGGUCCUUCAGGCCUCAUGAACACUGAAGCAGGAGCAGCAUCACCAUGCGAGCUCACAGUCUGUGUAAGCACACUAAUGGUCCCUGUUUUCAGCCUAAUGAAAUGCUGGGGGUUUAAAACUUCUGUUGGCUGUGAAAGUGGUACAGGUUGCCUGCAGAAAAGUUGGGGCCUUUUUACAGCUUGUAAAACAAUUUUAUACUGUUUUCUGCUGAAUUGACUGUCUUGAAUCUCAGCUGGUGGAGGGCAUGGUAAGGUGACAGUGGAACCGUUUCCCUUGGUGUCCCUGGGAUCACCCGCACAUGAGGAAGUGCCGAGUCCUGUGGCCAGGGACUGAGACUCUCCUUCAGUGGCUGGUGGUCUUGGAGGUGAGGGAAGAGCUGAGAGGCCAUUUCGGGCUUCUGAUUUCCCCUGAUGCAAGGCACAGCCCCCUCCCCUGCAAAGAGCAAUACCUGGGGCUGUCACCGGCUGAAUUACAAAGUGUGGAGUGGGUUGGGGAAACAACAAAUGCCUUCUAAGUUAAAGAGGAAAGAAAGCAAUGAAGCACUCCAACAACAACAAAACCCAGACCAAAGUGUUUAUAAAUACAUAUGGCACAGCUUUUCGGAAGCCACACUUGUAUUUAUUUUGAUAGCAGUGCUGGAAUGCUAUUUUUGUCUGUUUCCCCCCUUUAUUCCUACCUUUAAAUACACAGUGAGAGCUUUCCUAAUUAGGGAAACAGAAGUUUCAAAGAAAAGACUUUCCUUGUCAAGGCAUUUUCCCACACUUGGGAGAUGGAUGCCUUUUUGAUAAUUCCUCAGGGUUUUUUUAGGAAAAAAUGUGUUCCAGCUGCAAUUUGUACAUGAUCUCCUGAGUAGCAAAGGUAAAUAGUUUAAAAAGAAAUCUCUGCAGGUAACACAGGAAGAAAAACAAGCUGAUAACUUUUGACAGAUUGGUGGCUUCUUCCUUCAUUGAAAUAUUCAUAGAAUAGCACAUCUAUUUUCUUUUCAUGGAUGUGCUUGUUAAUGCUAUAUCAUCUAACCUGAUCUGUAUGGGAAGUGUAUUUAUUCUAGAACCAUGGGGCAUUUAUACUGUUGACUUGUCAUCAAGAAUAAUGUAGAGGACAGGUAAGAUAAUUUCAACUCUAUUAAGGGUUGAUAGAUGACUUUACAUAUUUUGAUAAUGGGUCACUCAAGAGUGAAUGAUCUGAAAUGCUUUUGUUGCAUAUUUGCUAAAAAUGCACCCUGUUAAUGUUCCCCCCCCGCCCCGCCUCCCCCCUGUCUUUCCUCUGUUUCACUGUUAAACGAGGGCACCUAGAGGGUUGCCCUGGGACAAGGAGACAUCAACAGCCACUUUGGGCUCGCUCAAGGGACUAACGAGGGAAAGACGUGAGGGUGCAUGGGAUCUGCUGGUUCACAGGUGCUAUUUGGUUCAAACAAUCCCAGACUGCUGGUUCCCCACUUCCCCCUUGUCUGUAAAGAGAGAUCAGUGUUAAGCAUGGUGAGAUGUCUUUGGGCACAGUCAGAACUGGGGACUGAGGCAACAUUCCCAGAUGCAAAGGUACUUCAUCUAGUGACAGCCAACCAGGGGUUUAUUUCCAGGCCUAUUGAAGCAGCUGGUCUCCAAAAGCCCUCUCCUAGUCUUUAUCCGGUGGCCAGCCAGUUUGCAGGCAAGACUAUGUUCAUUAACUGCUAUUGGUAUUCAGGCGUCAGAGGAGCCCUGCUGCUUUGCCAGAUGCUCUCCAUUUUCUGUCUGUGCAGUUGAUUCCUCCUAAGCAUAAUUCUUUGUAACUGCCUUCACGACAUUUCAUCUGACUGAUUCCCUAGCACUUCCACCAUCAUCAAGAAUGUUUUGAAUUCUGAUCUUGUCUUCCAGAGCACUGGCAACCACUGCCAGCUUGCUGUCAUCCACAAAUUAUGUUGGUGUCUUCUCUGCUCCAGCCCCUGAGUCUGAGCAGGAGCACGCCAUGGGUCUCCACUUUAUCUGUCCCCUCAUCUUCAUGGGGGAUGCUAAUAAGCGCUCUUUGGCUGGUGAUUUUCAACAUGCUUCAUAAUUUUGUUAUGUUAAUUUUAUUUAGAUUAUGCUUUUUGAGCGUUAUGAGAGAGUUUUAUGGAAUUGUGUAUAAAGCCUUGCUAACUGAGAGGCUGUAUCUCACACUGCCCCGGUGAUGAGGUCCUUUGCCCAUUCUGUAUUCUGUGCUUUCCCUCCCUGCUGUGCCCUCCUCUUCCCUUACCAGAUCAAGUUGUUCUUAAGUUAGAUUUUAUUUCUAUUAUUUAUUCUUGAGAAAUUUAUAAAAACUUAUAUUGGCUGUGUCUCUUGGGCCACCAUCUAAUCUUCUAGGUGAUAACAAGUUGAUUGAUGAAUAAUAGAUUCCAGUAUCUUUCCAGCUGCUUAAAAGGUGCUAUAAUUUCUAAAUGCAUCCCUUAAGAUAGAGGUAGCGUUUGUCCUUCCCCAGGAGUUAGCUUUUAAUCAGUCCAGUUGCCUUUACGUUAUUGAAAGCUUCUUUUCAUUGCAAUAUACAAAAGAAAUAUUUGGAAAUAAGCCAUUUAUGAUGUACAAGUGUGUAGCUUAGGGGCCCAAAGUUUUGGGUGCUGCAGAAAUCCUGUAAGUGAUAUUUGCUGCUCUGGAAAACUUCCUAAAUGUUAAAGUAGGCAAAGUGGUCAACUGAAGGGACUGAAAACACAUACACAAGGAAAUUAACUGAAUUGCUGAGGUAUAGAUCAGUAGCGCAAUGGAGAUUAAAAGUCAUCUUUCUGGAAUCCAGAUCAAAACUUCGCCAUUGCUCUGAUAGCAUUUUUUUGACACUGGGGAAAAGACAGAAAAAUAAAACCGGUCUCUUGAAAACAUUCCAAACUGAAGAAUAACAUGAAAUGUGAUUUAAUAAUUUCAAAGAUAUGGAUUUUAAAAAUCCUAGUAAGAACUCUGAAACCAGAUUUUUUUUUUCAGUUAUUCUGUAUUUAUAAUUUCAGUAUGGAAGGUAGCUAUUGAUACACUUGCCUCAUAAUGCCUCCAAGACACUUGGAGAGCUGAAUUUCAUCUUCUUCCAUUACUGUGGAUACAAACAAAAAGUGGUUAUGAAUCACUCUUCAUUGAUAGAAGGAAUUUAUUUGUCCAUUUAUUUUACUGGAGUGUCUGCUGAAAUUGAAGUUCUUGAUUAAUGAUCUACAGGAGGUAAUGCCGAAGAAAUUUGCUUUUGCAACCGCAAGGAAGCUCUGUGAGGAUGUAGUGGGUUGUGUAUAAUAGUGACCCUAAACAGAAAUGGUAAUAUAAACCUUACAAACACACCAGGGUAGAACAUCGUGUGGAGACAAGGGUCACUCACUGCUGAGCAAAAGCAUUGCUCUGGCCACAGACUGAUACGGAAAUGUGUUGGGUAAAGUUGUUCAACACCCUGCUUGUCAGAAAGAAUCAUUAAGGUAGUUCUACUAGAAAUGUAAACAGAUCUCAUUUGCAUGUAGGUCAUUGCUACAAUUAUUUCCCAGAAACUUCUAUGUCUAACAAGAUAAUGGAGCUAGUGUAGUACAAGGAGGAUCUGGUGGCCAACAUUAACCACAGCUUUUGGAGCAGGGUCGCCCAGGGCUGCCACUGCCCUUGCUCAGGCAGACUUUCUUGUGCUACCUUUUUAUUUUACUUUCUUCCUAGUUCUUUUUUUUUUUUCCUUGCUCAGCUUAUCCUUUACCAUACAGGUUAUAAAUUCUCCCUUCUGCUAUUUUCUGGCCUGCACCCUCUUAUUAGCCUCAUGCACUUGCAAAAUGCAGGUAUGCCAGACAGCCACUUUACUCCUAUCCAAGAUUAUUUCUGCCUGUAGAGCCAUUGCAUUCUUUAAAUAGCACAGUUUUUCCUGCUUGAGUGGAUUUUCUGAAAUUAAAAGCCUUUUCAAGAGUGCUGCUCCAUUUUAUAAAGCAUACAUCGCAUGGACUGUUUAUUGUACGCAGAUUUUAUCAAACUCGUGUUUCAGCAUGUCCUUGGCUUUUUCCACAGCCCACGUGUGGCCGUGGGGCCAAGGUGGGGAUUUGUCCUCAGUUACUAUCUCAUUCUUCCCCCUUUUUAUCAGUUUCGGGAUUACCAGUGUUACUAGAAGGUAAGAUGUCCUAUCUGCGUGGAAGAUUUUACUGAAAUCGGUGGAUGUGGCUUUGUGUGGAAAGGAAAAAGGUAGGCAAAUAAAUGGAAUUUAUGUGUUCCUCUUGCAGAAGCACAGCAUCUGAUGAACAACAUCCUUAUAAAUACAUGGGUUUACCUGAAAAUGUUUGCUGCUUGCACAGGUACUUGCCAAAUGUGCCCCGAUCGAGCCCAAGUUGACCUACCUGCAAGAAGGUGAAGCUCACCUCCACACCGAGCGUGUUCCUCAGCUGGAUGCUCCAGCCUGGGGCCGUUCACUGCAGCUGGAGGCAAAGGCACCUUAAAAAUGUAACUAGUCCUGUUAAGAAGUUUGAUGGAAGUUGUCCACUGAAGUCCUGGGCCAGCUAAGUCCUUCUGGGUCUUCAUUUGACUUCAGCGAGAGUCACAAAAUCUGUCACAAACCCCCUGGAAUCAAUACUUGGACUUCACCCCAGGGAACGGGAGGUGUGAUAACGUGCUAACUGCAGUUCUGGCUUCUGAUGUACCUUUUGCACCAUCAGAACUGAUGAAACAUUUUAUGGAGAAAAGAGAAAAAACAAUGAAUCAGGGAGUAUCCCCCUAGGCUGGUGAGUACAUGUGGUGUGAUUAAAAUAGUGAUAUUAACCUAAAAUAGCGUUAUUAACCUCAGUGGAGGCAAACAGUGGAUUCAGAGUAGAAAAAUAAAGUCCAUGCAAGCAAACCUCAACCACAUGGAAAAAAAUCUUGACCAUAAAAGAAAAAAUACAGCAGCUGUUACACGAGGCUUUGUGUCUAAUGGUCCAAAAUACUGCCAAGCAUUGAACAACGUUUUGUGUGCAGUUACUUCCCUAUAUUAAAAAUAACACACCAAAGCAUUAAACUGAAGGUAUUUACACUAUAUAACAAAUUGCUUAUUUACAUGUAUGUCCUUGCUGACUGGCUGUGGUUGUUUCUGGAGAGAAGGCAAUGGCAGGAAGGCUGUUCGGGAGAGAUGCUUAUGGGAUGCUGCAAUAGUUUUUGGCUGAGCAUAUAUAAUUGACUUAAUCUUAAAACAAUUUGCUGUAUCAAUAAUGAAGCACCUCUUAAUGGACUUUUGACUGGUCAAGUGUCAAGGCAGAUUGUGUAGCGUGGAGCAAAAGGAGAGGAACAACUUCUGUCAUUGCAUAAACUCAUUGCAGAGCAUGAAUAAAUCAGCCUCUCUUGCUGGCAACCAUUUCAUACUGCUCUGAGACUUCUGAAGUUAACUUCCUCUGAUGUAACAUAUGCCUGCAGUUUAAAAGCAGCCCCAUCCUUUUAAGAAAAAGUACCUAAUUUAUGCACUGCUUUUAACUUUUAUUAAAAGAGCAUGCUUAUGAACUCUGAAAGAGAGAAAUAGCUGAAAAUGGAGGUUAUGCUUUCUGCCGGGACUGACAUGAGCAUCUACCCGGAGAAGCUGUCGGGAGUUCACUGCAUCUCCAAACGCUGAAAGGCCUGCAGUGUUGCUUUGAGGUUUUAUUUAAUUGUAUGAACUGUCUUCUGUUAUAAAGGCUCUGGGUAAGGUCUUUCUUCACUACCAUUCAAAUAUUACUUCAUAUUUUUGAUCUGAAUUUCACAUACUGUCUUCUGGGAAUUUCCAUAUGAUUCUGCUCUGGAAUGAUGCUAUUAAUAAUGCUGCUGUGUGCUCUUAUGGCUGUUCCCCUGCCCUGAAUGCUGUGUUUUCUUAUAUCUGAGACACAGCGGAGAGUUUUGGCACAAUUGCAUACAUGAAAAUAAACUACAGCUAUACUGGUAAAACUCUUCAUAAUACUUCAAAUCUGUAAUUUGCUCAUGAGUCUGGAUAGCAAGGUUUCUGUGGCUGUAGAAUAUGGAUGAAACCAAGAUAAUCUGUUUAGCAAAUUAAUUUAUACACUUGAUUAAUCUUCUUUGGGGUGUGCAUCACCAUGCUCCACCUUUGAAAGGUGCUGAGGGUUUCACUCUGAGAAAAAGCUGGUAGAUUUAGGGACAGCUGAGGAUUUCAAAGCUAAAUGUUUAUUUGCCCCUUCCCUACUGGGAAAAUCUGCACAGUGUUCAGAGUUUUGGCCAUGUUGAAGGUUAUAGUUAUCUUUGCUGUUUAAAGAUUUCCCUAAAUCUAACAAGAAAAAGAUUGGAUUUGAUUCCUCCUCAGAAAGCAGAUGCUUGCGUUAUUAAAAAAAUAAGAAAAAUAAAAGCCUCCCCCCCAAUUCCCAUGUUAUUCCACAACAGGAAAUACUGUGUUCUGAAUAAUCCAAAUCCCAAUGCAGUGUAUUUAUAAGUAAAUAGAGUAGUUCUGUCAUGUUCACAUCUAUAGGAUCGAUCAAGGCUGCCUGGGAGAGUGAGAACCUCUGUGUGUCAACAACAACCCAGUUAAUACUGCCCUGCUGCUGACUUUUCUUUGUUUCAUUCUCGUUUUUCUUAAAUGCAGGCAACCUUCCUUAUAACGAAUGUCCCUGUGCCCAGUCAUCUCUUCGUUGCAGCACCAGAAAAAAACAGACAGAUGUUACGAUUUGCCUAGGUGGCUGAGAAGCAAUUUCAAGCAACAGGGAAGUUCUGACCGGGUAGCGUUCAUCAUUUCUAGUAGAGAAAUUAGUCAUGAUGACACAUAAGUGCCCAGCUUCGGACAGACCCGGGUGGGCUACAGGAUUGUGCCACGGAAGAAAAGUUUUCUUCUGACCUGCAGCAGCAGCAGAGUGACUGCCAAAGUGGGGCUGUGCCAUGUGCCCAGCUCCAGGCACCAGCCCACGCUGGGGACAUGCCGACCACUCAGUUGGUGCUGUCGUCACCAUGAGCCCGACUGCCUGGGUGCUGGGCACCUUCCCACAGGGGAUCUGGUCCAAAAAAGCAUCAGAGGCUCCAGCUCUUCCUGAUGCCCUGCAGGAUGUGCAGUGCUGGCCAGGGAGACGUGCUGGCCAAAGCUGCAGCAGAUGAACGCUGGAGCUGGUGGUUCAGCUCCCAGUGGGGACAACCAGCUGCUAUGCUACAGUAUGGCAAAAAGGAGAGGGGAGUGCUUCGUUUUAGAAGAGCUUUGGCUGUUUGUACAAGACACUGCGCAGGCUGAUGCUCUGCUGUUCAACCUGCCAUUUGCACUUGCCUCCUCCUGAGCGUAAGAAGUAUUUCAAAGACCAACCCCAUUGGAGUGGGCCACCAGCAGGGACAGGUGAGCAGAAGGUACGUACCCAAGUGCUUUCCAUGGCUGGUCCAUCCCUGCCGGCGAUGCCAAAGCACCUUCCAGCAGUAGCCAGCACCCCGCAGGCUUGCUGCCGCCAUGCGGACCAUGUGAAUUGAUGUAGUAUACACGCAUGGGUCCAUCUUUGGUUCUGUUUGCCUCUUGAGGAUAUUUAUAGGGCCUGGACAUGUCACAGAAGUUUGAUCCUCCAGCUCUCCUUCCCAGCACGCUUUAUCCUCCUGGUGCGUGCCUGACCAGGGAAAUUGGUGCUGAGAACAGAUCAGCACCGUCUGCCAAGGGAGAACGUUAAAUUGCAGUGAACAACUUACAAUCCACAGGGGGAUAGAAGUGGCUUCUGUUUCUGGGAAAGAAGGAAUACAAGAAAGCUUCAGCCUUGUCUAAGACUAACUUCAUGCACUAGUCUGACUGCUUGUAAUAGUUAUUUCUCAAACAGAAAUGGCUUACAAAUAUGAAUUGUUUGGGGUUUUGAUUUUUUGGGGGUUUUUUUUCCUUUCACUUUGUUCCUAGUCAGAAAGCUUCUUAGACAUGGGAAACAAAUGUUUGAAGUUCACCUAGACUGAAAACAACUGGACUUUGCACUUAAAAUGAAGGGAAAAAAAGAUCAGACUUUUCUUCCCAGAUUUUUCAUUGUUCCAAAAUAACUACGAUUAUUCCCAUUUUUUGUUUGUUACUGAGUUCUUCCAUUCUGUAACAUGUAAUUCUCCUAACUGGCAGAGAGAAUCAGAUAUGUCUGGCCUUUCAUCCUGACCCCCAUAAUUUUUAAAAAGUUGAUUAUAAGCAUGACUCCCUAGUACCCAUUUUGUGUCUUUGUAGCAUUAAUGGUCUAUUGAAUAAUACCCAACUCUAUUGUUUAUCCUUUUUAUUUUUGCUAAUGGCUGUCAUCAGUUUUGCAGCUCUGUGUUUCUUUACCUUAAUGUAAAUCUGGUGUCGAUCAGCCUGAGCAAAGCUGGGAACAGGAGAACAAGAUGGAGCAGAGGAUCGGUGUGGUCCAGGCAGAGAUCUUCCCUCCAUAUUGUACAUGCCUGUCAUAUUACUUCCAUGUCUGGACAUCCCCCAUUUUCAUGUUUUAUAUUCCAACUGCCAUGACAACCGAUGUCCUAACCACCAAGAUGUUUAUCUGAAGCCCCAACCACCCUCUGGGACCAGAUAGCAGCCUGGACCCCAGCAUGGAGGGAGCCCACAGGACAUCCAGUUGCCAAACCUUUAAUGAUGUCUGAUUCUGUGCAACCUGCUUCUUGUUCUGCUCCAAGGGCCAGAUUAAGAAAUGUCCAAGAUGUUGGGACUGAUAUUUUUCAGACAAAUGAGCACAGAAUGUGACAUUUGUGUCCACCUGACCUCUUGUGUCCAAGCUAUAAGCAUCUGGGAAGUUCCAGAUGGUGGGAGCCAGCAAGGAAAAGGCAAGCCUGAUCCUUCUGCCUGUUCCUCUCAGCUGUUUUUGGCUGGAAAUGUCAGAUGAGCUGCAGGUAACUUUCCUUUGCAUGUUAAGAAGUGGGUGAGCCCCCUCCACUUGGCUUCCAUGGCUGCUGGCCUGGCUGGGGCAGGAGCUGUCCGGGAGGCUUUGCCGGCUCAGCUGGAGGGUGCCGCUCCUCUGGGCCAUGCUGCUGCCCUUGAUUUCGCAGGCUCUCCUUGGUGGCUUAAGUAACCGACAGCUCCAAGACCUCUCCUGUCACUGUUCAUUCCUUGGAGUGCUCCAUGGAGGGGAGAAACCUCAGCUUGUACACUUUGUGGAGAAGUUGCAUAAAGGCAAAAGGCAUCUAUGGGUUAAAUGCUGAAUAUUUCUGCAAAAUCUGGCAGUCAGAGACGGGUUUUCAAAACAGUUCUUCUGUGCAUGUAAGUGUCUGAAGUGGUUUUGAGCUCUUUGGGAAAUGCAGCCCCUUACAGUGACCUUCAAGCAAGCAGGAAAGAAUCAAGUCAUGGACACCGUGGACAAUGCCAGCUGGUCCCGGUAACGAGUAGCAAGCUCUUAGGAAAGCCUUGAUUAAAAUUCAGAUAUACUAUAAUCUCCCUUUCUUUUUCAGCUGUUAUUAGCAACACCAACUAUACAAAAGCAAUAGGAAAAUGAGGUGACUAGUCUCACCAGCCAGAGAGUAAGGGACGAAAGGCACUUGAAAUCAGAGACCAAGAUCCCAGUUUGCUUGUCUGAAUUUGGUAUGGAAAGAAUACACUCUCUGGGUCAUUCUGUAUUUCUUAUAUUGCAACAAAACACUGAGCACUCAGCCUAGUGACUGUCAAACAUUGUUAUUUAACAUAAAUUAAGUAGUAAAUAACAAGUAUCAAAGUUGUCUGAUGUAAACACAGUGGCAAAUUAGUAAAUUUGGGGUAGAGAUUGAAACAGUGUUCAGUUAUUUGCAUAUUACAGCCACAUCCACCCCUUAGACGUCUUAUGCCAUGUAUUAAUUCACUCGCUACACAAUUGCUGUCUCAAAAAUCUGACCCUCAUUUAGUAGCUUUAACCUCAGAUCAUUUGCCUGGUAGUUAAUAAUGCUCCUGCGGAGGUACUUGUGACGUGCGAUUCAUCCUUGCUUCGCAGGCUCUUCUUUAACAAUUAACAGCAUUAAGAACGCUCUUAAUAUUGUCAGCUACACAAUCAUUAUUCAGAUUUGGUGCUGGGGCUAUAAUUGGAACCAUCUGUUUGAGGCUUUCUUUUCUGCUCCGGCUUGCUGGUGAAGCUGUCAUCUCCUGCUUCUUCAUAUCAAGCAGAGCCCCGAGGUAAGAAAAUGCAGUGCUGGAGGUGGCCACAACCCUGUGCUGCUUCCAGACAUGAAACAAAGCUCAGGAUUAAUGAUAAAUGAAUGUAAUUAUAUUAUAUACUACUGACCAUAAUGACAGCACAUGGUUUCUGUAAACAUGCUGGCUGGUCUCUUGGGCAUGGUAAUGGGAUGUAUUCCCUCAUUUCCCAGGCUCUUCAAGUGACAGGGCCCUGCUGCCUUAAUAAUUAACAGAGCAGGACAGGGUGCUUUGGCAUCUCAGAGUGUGUGUGUGUUGGGGGGGGGGGGGACACCCAGCUGAUCUUCAGCGCCUGCGCUGUGGUCUGACCAGCCCUUGGUCAUGAUGCACCCGAGCAGCCAUGGGCAGGGCUGGACCCAGCACACCCCCUGGCCUCCUGCUGCGGUGCUUUGGGCUCCCCAGAAGGGAAGGGGGUUUUAAGGACUUCAGGUUUUGGGUUUGUGUGCUUCAGUGUGACCACUGGGACAAAGGAGCUUUAUUUACCUACUUCAGCCUGUAAUAAAGCCACAAGUCCAGACUAGGUCUCCACAGUCACUGCGGGGCAAGUUAUUUUGCUGUUGUCUGUUCAUACUGGUUGAUAGAACAUGACUGUCUGUUUCAGUGCCAGGAAACAAAAAUACUUAAUUUUCAUUGAAUGAAUCCAGAGAAAACCAAACUACACAGUAGACUCUCUUUAUCCUCUCCAAUAUGCAAACAGAUUUAUGGCCUGUGCUCGGUUUGGUAGCACCCUCUAACCUUUGUGAUGGUCGUACUGAACCCAGUCAUUCCACUGGCCAGAUGGGUGGGAACUGUAAUUAAGAAUUUAACAUAAGCAUAAGUUUAAGCUUUUAGGUGCUGAAAGGCAUGCUGGUAUUCUAAUUCAAGCAGACAAACCUGAGCUUGUUGUAAACCAGCCAGGUCCCACAGAGAUAAUAGCAUACCUGCACCAGCGAAGGCUCUAGCAGAUCAUGUAAAACUAACGGAGACAGGGGCAUGUCUCCAAGAGAAGCCUACGUGAGGCUUGAGCUUUUCUCAUCCACAAAGCUAGCAAAAUCUGAGCUGGCGAGCUCAUACACUCAGUACCUCAAUAGAGGUCAGUUGAGUCUUUGAAUCUAUACCCUAAAAUCCUACUUAGAUUUCAUAUUCUAACUCAUUAAAAUACCUUUGUCACUUUUCUAUUUAUAUAUUUGCAUGUGUUUGUAUGUUUGUACAUAUAAAAAGGUUUCUUAAUUAAAAAGAAAAAAGUGGCAUGGCAUUUAAAGCCAUGCUACACAUUUAAAUGAAGCUUUAAAAAAAAAAAUAGAGGUUUUUGUAACAGACAGUAGAUGAACUCUUCUAUAUUCCCUGUCCUAAAGGACAGUAUUAUAAACUCUGCUGUCAAGAUACAAAGCCUCAAGGAUGCUGCUCUAUAAAUCAUACCCAUUAGUAAGUGUGGUGUUGAUUUUUCCUUGACUUUUGGACUAUUUUAAACCAGCGUUCAAUUAUUCUUUCAUGUGCUUGAGUACCUGCAGUGACUUUGACGUGGUGAUGAAGGUAGCUGCCAGCCCAGCCAGCCUGACCCACCACUCGCCACGCCGCAACCUCCCGCUUCUCCAAUUUCUCAGCUGAGCAGCCAAGUUGUACAGCUCUGACUCGAUCCGCCGGCAUCUCAUUUGCUUCCCCGGCUGCAUGGAGGGCUCAGACCACACGUACACAGUGAUAACAGCUGACUUUGUUGGCCUCACAUUAGGGAGCAGCUGUGCCUUCCAAAAGCAAAAACGAUGGAAAAGAAUAAACAUUCUGGAGUUAAAAUGAUAAAUUGGUGCCCACGUACAAGCAGAGGGAGGCAACAAGUGGAUUCAUUUAGCAGAGAAAAUGCACGUAUUUAACAGGGACUUCAUCUUGCUGAAUGCUGAUGACUUCCACACCAGAAAGUAUGAAUUCUCCACAGCCAAGCCAAGGAAGCAACUCACAGGUGCCAGGCUGAGGGGUUGUUAUUAAUUUGCAUUCAGCACCAUGCAGAGAACUUUUUCCUUGAAUUGGUUGCACCGCUGAGAAUAAAAAACUCUUUUGGAUAGAAUAAGUUCCUAAGAUUUCUUGAGGGUGGAGGAGAGCACUCUCCUCCCUUUUUCAUGGGUACUGAAGACUUUCUUAGGAAGGAUUAUAGUCACUGCCUGCCCAUGGGGAAUGAUUUCUCGCAAGCAGCAGGCCAGCCUGACCUUUGACACACCUUGCUGCGCCGAGCGCACGAGGGCCAGCAGUUCUGCUGGGUGCCCGCUGCGUGUGUGGGGAGGGGGUGCUCUGCCCUCCCCCAGUGGGACUUCUGUUGGCUUCAAACCUACCCAGCAAGCCAGCGCGAUGCUGCCAAAGUCAUCAUCACUGCACAGCAUGGGCUCCUGAAAUUAUGCAGAAUUAUGCAUGCAAGUUGCUUUCUGAAAUUAGCUGCACAUGUUUAUAUUAACAUGCAAAUAAAGCAACUUCAAAAUAAAACAAAAACAUGAAAAUGUCUAUUCAUUAAGUUCAGUUUUAUGGCAUAAUUGAUUUGUGUGGGGUGGGCAUGUCUGGUGCUUUCUCUGAUUACCUUCCUGAUGCUGAAGAAAUCCACAACAAUCAUACUGAUAACAAACCAUUUAAACAUAUUCAAUUAAAUUACUGGUAAUUCUGAAAUGGCUCAAUAUUGCACAUGGGUUAGUUUAAUUUUUAUGUAAAUUCUACCCCUGAUUUAGCAAAGUCUUAAUUGUUUAACAGCAGAUUAGACUAAAUUAUUUUAAUUGAAUUUUAUGUGAAUUUUUUACCUCUGCCUUCAAGGAACCCAUUCAUAAAGCUUUUUCUUUCAGAUGUUGUGUACAGAGAGAAUUGCAUGCUGGUGCCUGUUCUUCCGGCUUCACUUUAGGCCACUAUAUAUUUCAAAUCCAAGUAAAAUCAAAAUGUUGCUCAUUUUGCAAGGGAUGUUCAAAUCAGAAAGGUAAAUGCUGAAUUUGGAAAUGGAACUAGAGGAGAGAAAAUGAGGGAUCGAAGCUGGGGGACAUUUAUUCCUGAGGUUGAAUACUGUGAGAGUUUUGGCUAUUUUUCUCUUCCUUAGCUGUAUUUUUGCAUUGUUGAGAUCUAGAUCCCUUUGGGUUUGUGCUGCCAUACUUUUGAUGAGUAUAUACGUACCUACAUGCACAAUGCAGAAGUUGUUUAGGCUGCAGAAUUAAGCAACGGAGACGUAAGUGCUGUUGUGCUGCAGGUCAUGCCUGAGCAGAGCUGUGUGAGUACUAGCUAAGUAGUUCUCACGUGGGUUGCUGGAGCUGUGCUUGUGGGCUGAGCUUGUAUUUUUUAUUUUCCAGAUGAAGGCAAAGUGCUCUGGGAUGGUGAGUGAUGCAAGAGAACAGGUUUUCUUUUCUGAAGGCCCAUGACUACGCCCCACAAUAAACUUUGCCUUCCCACUUCCUCAGAGAUCAGAGAUGCUGGUUAUGACUGUAAUCCCUAGUUUCCUGCUGGUUUUAAUAAAAAAAGGGUUGUAAAUUUUAUUUUCUGUCACUACUGCUCAGAAUUCCUCUUCUUAUUAUUUAGUUGAUGUGUUGGAUUUUGAACUGUUUCUGGCUGACAGCUUGCUUAGAAACAGCAUCUAAAUAGCAUGUAAAACAUUGGCAUUGCCAGAAUCCAUUGCCAUGGGCUCGAUUUUGUGUUUCCGUGUGGCUCCCUGCUAGCCCUGGAAAGCUGAAAUCAUGAGCAGACACUAAAUCUGGCACUUCACGUGGCAGCACAGGUUAGUGCAGCCCGUGCUGUGACAGCAGCAAGUCAGAGGCAUAAAUGCAAGAGGCAACAGGAGAAAUCUGAAAUCAGACUAGCAGGGUCUCCGCCACGAUUCCUAGAGCACCAGGAGAUGCUUCGCACGCACUGGCUGCAAUCAGGGCAGCACUGAGGGAAGCAAGGUGGGCUUCACUCGCAAAUGCCUUUCCUGCCUGUGUCCUGAUUUCCAUGUUCAGAGAAGAAUCUUGUUCUGAAUCCUGCCUGAUUGUUCUUCUAGUAGAGUAGAGAGAGGAUUGAAGCUAUGCACUUUCUUCUUUAUCUUUUUUUCUGGCUUUGUAAUUCAUCUUUAAACACCUAGCAGUCUGUCGUCGGAUAUCAAGAGAUGCUUUUUCCCAUGGAGCACAGUGUGGUGGCAGCAAAGGCAACAGAAGUUCAUGCGACAUCUGCCCAUGUUCUGCUGCUUUUAUUCUGGCACUCAGAAACUAAAUUUGUGGAAGUUACAUGUAAACAACAAAUUAGCUCAGCUAGCAUGUCACCCAGGCCACCUGAGACGUGGCUGCUCACCUCUCAUCUGUUUCUAACUCUCCAAGCCACGACACUUGUCUUCUUCCAUCGUGUCACCACUGCCCACGCGCUCCCCUGGCCAAGGCUGUGCUGGCCCUGCCUGUGCCGCUGUCGGCUCCCGGCUUCCGCCGCUCCCCCCAUACCUCCUGCCCUUGCGUGCCCCUCACGCUGCCGUCCUUGUCUGGCAAACCCGUUCCCACCUCCCCUUCUGCUGCCUCCGCCAGGCCUUGGUGUGUGGCAAGGCUGCCUGUCCCUGCGGCAGGACCACGGG
Long non-coding RNA from Falco peregrinus (peregrine falcon), 16274 nucleotides. RefSeq lists it as uncharacterized. The transcript has 8 exons. Lineage: Eukaryota; Metazoa; Chordata; Aves; Falconiformes; Falconidae. The record is from RefSeq and is a predicted model, not a curated record.